GCUUGAACUGAUUUAUUGAAAGCCUUGGGCCUUGGAAAGGAGUCUUUGGAAGAAUAGCUCUUUUGAGUGGCGGUUCAUUUUUUUUCUCUUUCAGAAGUGCUGGUGGUGCCUGGACGGGAAAGACGUGUGGCAGCCGAGGAAGGGGGUCAAUUGCCACGUGACGGGGCCGAUUAACAAGUCGGCUUUGUGCGUCCGGCCGGGGACACCUGCAGCUCUUCCAGGCAGGCUCGCCCAGUAGGGGCGUUUGAAUGGGAAAACAGCUUCCAAAAGAUGGAGCAGAAGAGCAUAAAAGAAAAAAACGUGCAUUUGCGAGAUGAGGGAAACGUGGGGUUUUAUCUCUGAUUCUUCUUGAAGUCAGUCUUUUAUUGCCUAAUAUUCUCACCUGCAGGUCAGUGCUCAGCAGAUGAAUGAGAGAAGACUCAUUGCCAGGGUUGGAGCUGGGGUACUGAUCCAAAAGGACUUUGCUUUCCAGCAGACAGGUCUCUUGACAUCACAUGGCUAGUCUGUAAAAUAAUUGCUGAGGACCCUGUUGGGCCUAAAGUUCCAUAUCAUGAAAGAUCCCUGUGGUGCUUCCUCAACGUGAAAGAAAGAAAAGGGAAAGGGGAGGAAAGGAGGACAGGGAAGGAGGGAAGGACGGGGGGAAGGGAAGGGAAGAAGGGGAGAGAAAAAAAGAUGAAAGAAAAAAAGGAUGAAAAGAAAAACGUCUUCAUUACUAUCGAUAACUUUUCAACUUUGGAGCACGUCCAAUUUAAUCACGUAAAGAGCAUUAAAAUCCACAUCAGAGCCAUCACCAGGUGAGUGUUCUGCUUGCAUCCCACC
This 819-nucleotide long non-coding RNA is filed under the name Dasypus novemcinctus (nine-banded armadillo). Its description in RNAcentral is "lncRNA (ENSDNOG00000049993.1)". Lineage: Eukaryota; Metazoa; Chordata; Mammalia; Cingulata; Dasypodidae. The record is from RNAcentral.